GAUGAAGAACGUAGCGAAAUGCGAUAAGUAGUGUGAAUUGCAGAUUUCAGUGAAUCAUCGAGUCUUUGAACGCACAUUGCGCCCCCUGGUAUUCCGGGGGGCAUGCCUGUCCGAGCGUCAUUGCUGCCCUCAAGCACGGCUUGUGUGUUGGGCCUCCGUCCUCCUCCCGGGGGACGGGCCCGAAAGGCAGCGGCGGCACCGCGUCCGGUCCUCGAGCGUAUGGGGCUUCGUCACCCGCUCUUGUAGGCCCGGCCGGCGCUUGCCGACACAUCAAUCUUUUUUCCAGGUUGACCUCGGAUCAGGUAGGGAUACCCGCUGAACUUAAGCAUAUCAAUAAGCGGAGGA
RNAcentral lists this unclassified non-coding RNA (345 nucleotides) under soil metagenome. RNAcentral's name for it is "partial contains 5.8S ribosomal RNA, internal transcribed spacer 2, and large subunit ribosomal RNA". The stretch from base 1 to 120 matches the Rfam family "5.8S ribosomal RNA", at positions 35 to 154 of the family's 154-position model. The record is from RNAcentral.